UACGUAGGGUGCGAGCGUUGGCCGGAAUUAUUGGGCGUAAAGGGCUCGUAGGCGGUUUGUCACGUCGGGAGUGAAAACUCGGGGCUUAACCCCGAGCCUGCUUCCGAUACGGGCAGACUAGAGGUAUGCAGGGGGGAACGGAAUUCCUGGUGUAGCGGUGAAAUGCGCAGAUAUCAGGAGGAACACCGGUGGCGAAGGCGGUUCUCUGGGCAUUACCUGACGCUGAGGAGCGAAAGUGUGGGGAGCGAACAGG
Molecule: ribosomal RNA, 253 nt
Filed under: uncultured bacterium
Lineage: Bacteria
Description: partial 16S ribosomal RNA
Rfam family: Bacterial small subunit ribosomal RNA
Source: RNAcentral